Long non-coding RNA from Ornithodoros turicata, 1096 nucleotides. RefSeq lists it as uncharacterized. The record is from RefSeq and is a predicted model, not a curated record. Lineage: Eukaryota; Metazoa; Arthropoda; Arachnida; Ixodida; Argasidae. The transcript is spliced from 5 exons.
GCGGUGACCUCGGAGAGACCCUUGGCUUCUGUGAAUUCUACCGACGACUUGUGCGAUAUUUAUUUCCGCCCUCGUUCAGUGGAACGAGGUAUACUGAGUUAUUUCAAGAGUUCAUGCGGUUCAUCGAGCUGGAUUUCUCAGUGGGCUUUCUACUUCGUAUAUGGUGAUCAGGUAUUAGUGUGCGCGACCAACGAAAACGCUCUGAUCAAAAAACUUCGUGGGCAUACCCAAGUUAUACCUUGCAGCGAUUGGGAACUACUAAGGCAUCAAAUGAACCUUAUCAAAAAAGGUGCAAAGGUCCCCAUGGACUGUGUAAGGAAUCUAGUGGACAAGAUGAACCUGGAAGAGAAUGAUGGCGAAUAUGACAGCGUCACGAACAACUGCCAAGACUGGAUGAAUCGGAUACUUGAGAGCCUGAAAUGCAUUGAUCCCAGCCUAGCACAAGUUGACUUCGCCACUCAAAUCUCUUCUAGGAGCGAGUCAAUGUAAAGGGUUAAGUUGCUGAAGCCAUCUCAGUACGGUCUCAUAAAGGGAAGUCUACACAGCUUGCACUGCUGAAUAUUGAAGUUAAUGAACGUUGGGAGCACGGACUACACACCUUCUCCCAAGUGCUUGAAACACUUCUCUGUGGAGACGAAAUGAAAGAGAGUGACAGGAAACGACUUUCUGGCUUUUUGAGAGACGACCUCAUUCGUUAUCUCGUACUUCUUUCAUAGCCAAGCUGGACAAGACAAGGAGGGGCAGAAGGCUAAGACGUGAGAGACGUCCCAGAAAAGAUAAUGGGACACAAACUGGCGAUGUUGGCAUAAGCAACUCUUCCAAAGAUGAAGUUGAAACUGAAGUGAUCUCCCUGGAUGAUGCCAUAUCCGAACUAGAGAGCCUCAAGUCUGCCAAUAUUGCAUACGACAUCAAGAGGAUGUCACUGCUGCUUAAGUCUACAGCCUGGAUCAGGGAAGCCCAGCAUGCCAACAUUCUGCCAGCGUAUUUCCUUAACUACCAAGUGGUAAGUAUAUAAACGUUUUAUUUUACUGUCAGUUUCACGUGACGUAUUAGUUAACAAAUACUGUAGUUGUCAUUGGAAGCGGAAGUACGCUUU